Molecule: ribosomal RNA, 467 nt
Filed under: Delftia acidovorans
Lineage: Bacteria; Pseudomonadati; Pseudomonadota; Betaproteobacteria; Burkholderiales; Comamonadaceae
Description: bacterial SSU rRNA
Rfam family: Bacterial small subunit ribosomal RNA
Source: RNAcentral
AUUGAACGCUGGCGGCAUGCCUUACACAUGCAAGUCGAACGGUAACAGGUCUUCGGACGCUGACGAGUGGCGAACGGGUGAGUAAUACAUCGGAACGUGCCCAGUCGUGGGGGAUAACUACUSGAAAGAGUAGCUAAUACCGCAUACGAUSUGAGGAUGAAAGCGGGGGACCUUCGGGCCUCGCGCGAUUGGAGCGGCCGAUGGCAGAUUAGGUAGUUGGUGGGAUAAAAGCUUACCAASCCGACGAUCUGUAGCUGGUCUGAGAGGACGACCAGCCACACUGGGACUGAGACACGGCCCAGACUCCUACGGGAGGCAGCAGUGGGGAAUUUUGGACAAUGGGCGAAAGCCUGAUCCAGCAAUGCCGCGUGCAGGAUGAAGGCCUUCGGGUUGUAAACURCUUUUGUACGGAACGAAAAAGCUCCUUCUAAUACAGGGGGCCCAUGACGGUACCGUAAGAAUAAGCA